UGUUGGAGCUAGUAGCAUGAAGCAAUUCGCUACACCAGGAAUGACAUCUGCUUAAUAUGUGUACAGUAUGUGACCAAUACAAAUUGAUUUAUAAUACCCUGAGCACUCACAUCUGCAUUUGAAUCACUUGUGUUUGAAGAGUUAAUCUGAUAACGAAACCCUAGAGGGGCGUAGACAGUAAUGUAACAAGACUAACAUAAUUUCCUAAAUACCUGUUCAACACAAUACAUUUCUGGCUAUAACAUCCCAUAACUUUGCAACCUGUUGAAUUGACCCAUGGUUCUUCAGAAGGCACACCUCCCAGGUGAGCGAGAUACUAUGCAAUACACUCUAAGCAUAUGAUGUAAGUAUGACCUACAGCAAUUCAGAGAGAGAAAGAGCGAGAGAGAGGUGUGCUGUCCAAUGUCUAGAGCAGGGCAGGGAGAGGAGUGAGACCGUGUGAGGGACUUCAUUCUUGAGCACUGCCAUUGAACUUGACAAUAAAAAAGCAUAACGUUCUCAGAUAAGCUUUUCCUGUUCUGAUUUAACAGAUUCAUGGAAUGUGAGAAGAGUUUCUCAACAUCCACAGAUAUGGUGGGGAGCCACAGAUAUGGUGGGGAGCCACCAGUCCACUGCUCUCACCUGUCUGGCAUCAGUUUUGUUUAUUGACAUGUAGUUGUGCCACUCCUCUUCAGAAACCUCACUCAAAGCAGGGAUGAUGUGCACAUAGUCCUUCCUCUCUUUCCUGGACCCUUCCACUCAUAUUGGAUCGAAUAUAUAAAGAGAGCUUGUCUCUGGUGCCGUUCCAUCACAGCCUGCAGUUUAAUGGCACAUUCUCCAUGGCAGCCUUAAAGAGCUCUGCACACACAUCUCUCUCUUGCUCUGGAAGUUCAUCCAGCUGAAUGGUGGUGCCAGUCAUCUGCCUCUGCCUUGCUGCCAUACUCCAAGACAUGUGUAGGUUCUGCAACUUGUUGCCGAUGUUGUGGGCUUAUGGCUCUGAUGUCUUCUCCAGCUUCUUAUGGAAGACCACUAACUUCAAACUGUGGUCAAUGAUGAACACAUAGGCCUUUAGCGAGGACUUGUGAUUCCCCAGCAGCUCCUUCAGAUCCUGGACACACUUGGCAGGUGGUGGGCCCAUACCUUCCAGACCUACGCCUGCAUGAGCAGGGUCUGAACCCAGAUGAAAGCUACCAAUAGGAAGCUCAGAGAGAUAGAGAACCCUAUGCAGUUCUUCGAAAGGUCCGUCUACAGCAACAGAGAUGCAUGGAGAGGCUACAUCUGAGAGGCAGAGAGGAGGAGCAGGGCAUUCCUCUGGAGUACCUGGAGAAACUCCACUUCAAACACGAGAGCUUGCUGCAGCACAAAACCAUGCGGCGAGAGAGGGAGGAAGGAAGUGUUGAUGGGAUUGUGAACGAGGAAGGGAGUGUUAAGGAAGGGAGUAGGUUGAGCAUGGUAUAGGAGUAUCUGAUUGACACGCCCAUUCUGACGCUGGAUAUCAACAACAUUUUUAAAUGGGACAAGGUCAAGGGUGCUGACAUGGUGGAAAGGUCAAAGAGUUUCUCAGUACCUUGUAAACACCAGCAGAUGACCAUCAUAGCCUGCUCUGGAUGUCAGCCAGCAGUGAGGACAGAUGUGGAACUUGUUUUGAAAUGAAUGAUGUCAAUUAUUUUUAAUAUUAUAUUUAAAGCAUUUGAAAUGUAUCGACCUGCAUGGGUACCUACAUGGGUAAACACAAUAUGAUACGUUUGUAUAGCUUGGUUUCACCUUCAUAUCCUGUCUGUUUUAUUAAUCGAUUUUAAUGAGAAGGGGAAAAAACUGAAUGUGUUUCUUUAUUAGAAAUAAUUUGUGCUGUUUUAUAAUAUUUUGUGUAAAAUAAUAAAGGGCUACCAGUA
Molecule: long non-coding RNA, 1871 nt
Organism: Oncorhynchus masou masou (cherry salmon)
Lineage: Eukaryota; Metazoa; Chordata; Actinopteri; Salmoniformes; Salmonidae
Exons: 4
Source: RefSeq, a predicted model, not a curated record